Molecule: long non-coding RNA, 43088 nt
Filed under: Medicago truncatula (barrel medic)
Lineage: Eukaryota; Viridiplantae; Streptophyta; Magnoliopsida; Fabales; Fabaceae
Description: long non-coding RNA (MTRU_LNC002183)
Source: RNAcentral
AAAUGAACAGGAGAAAGAUUGAGAGCGCAAGUAUGAUACACAGAAUUAUGCAGCAGACUGCUCCUCAGUGGUAGGAGCUUCUUUCUGGGGUGAAUCUGCAGUACCGUUAUUGGCAGCAUCCUUUGGUUGUGAUUCAGGUGAAACUUCCGGUGCUGAUCCAUUAGGUUUAGGUGCUGAUCCAUUUGGUUUAGUUGCUGUUUCCUUUCCGUCCUUACCUUCUUUGGAGUCUUUAGCAGGUGCAGGAGGAGGAGGAACCAUGUGAAGUGGUGGCGUAUGUUUCAGCUUUAACAAUAUCUGCCGCAUCCUAGAAAGAUCGGUGGGUUUGCCUGGCUUUGGGCCUUGGAGGACAGUAACUGAUGGAUUCUUAUCCUGAUCCUUUUUGCCUCUUUUCUUCUCAAUGUUGGCAACCUCACGGGGAAUUAUCUCCCCAAUUGCUUUCCAGUAAUUUUUGUCAGCCUCUUUGUGAAAAUUCUCUUGAUUGGCCAAGUAUAACUGUUCCACAAACACAGUUCAUCUCUAAAAAUUAAAAGAAGAGAACAAAAAUCACAUUGUAAAAAGUAAUGAUAAUGUAGGUGUGUAAAAAUUACCUUCUCCCUUUCUCUGUUUUGAACCUUGUUUGUCUCAACAUUGAGCUUCCUUUUCUCAUAGAAACCCACUUUAUAAUCCUCAGCUUCCUCAAUAAUCUUUAAUCUCAUUUCUUUUUCCCUUUUCUCCUUCUCGUCUAGUUGAAUAGCAUUUUGACUGCACAACGAAUUCAUUUUCAUUGUCAACCGAGUUCAGUAAACAUAUAAUAGAUCUGAAAUCUCCAAAAAUCAGAUUGCAAACAAAUACUUGUCCUACAUUUAAGGUUCAGAAUAAUUUUGCCUCAUAUGACCAAACAAAUAGUAUUUGUAUUAAUAGUAUUUUGCCUCACUAAGUGGGAUUGACUACAAGGAUCAAACGAUGCCAUAAAUUCUUGUCAUACACCAUGUUUCAAGAUCAACCAUUUAAAUUCCUCUUAAUAAGUUGAUCUAUUGUUUUCUUUGACCUCACUCUACUUUUAAUUAUUAGACUAUCCUUCAUUUGCUCAACCCUUGUUGAUGCUUUUACGAAUCUUUUUGCACAUGUUCAAACCACCUAAGAUGGGAAGAAGAAAAAAAAUCUACAUUGAGAGCUACUCCAACUUUCUUUCUGAUGAUUAAUUUGAUGCAUCCUUAUUCCUGCAACAUUGAACUUACUUUUUAGUGACUAUUUACCAUCUGACACUGGGUUCACACUUUGCACAACAAUGCAGAGCUUAUAGUUUUGUGGUAAACUUUUCUUUAUACUUGAGUGACACUACUGUAUUCACAUUGCAAACAUAUCCUAAUUUCAUCUAUCCUACUUUGAUCUUCUGGUUCAUGUCUUCGUCUAUCUCCCAUCAUUUAAUAUGAUGGACUGAAACCACAAGACUUGUGAUCUGGUAUGCUGUCUAAUUCCCACUUCUAUACUAAAAUUUUGCUGCCUCUUGCUAAACUUGCAUUCCAUAUAUUUUGUUUUAAUUUUUAUAAACAAAAGUUGUGCUUCAGUUGAAAGGGAGAUGUGGUGCAAUUGUUGGAGUUUCUACCACGUGAUUGGAGGUCAAGAGUGUGUGUAAUGGAAUCAACAUCUCUACAGCCUUUUUUAAUCAAUGGAUAUAAAUCCUUACUUUUCCUACGAAAAUGAAUCCAUGAUCCAUCACAUAAAGAAACCAAAUUCAAAGGAAAAAAAUUAACAAGAAAUAAAGGGUAAUGUGUUGCAACAAUGAGAUAGGAACAUCAUAAAACUGCACAAGGAUUAACUCAAUACAAAAUUCACGCUUGACAAGUAUGAACAUAGGCAUAUGUAAACAUUACGAUACGAUGUUUACCAAGAUUCUGCCAACACAGACUAUUAGCUUAAAACGCGAUACGCAUACGUUUGGAUUUGCCAACACAGACAACUAGUUUAAAACACGAUAUGCAUACGUUUGGAAAACCCUUAGAAGCACUGUGAUAGUCUAUUUGAAGCAAAAGGGACCCCAGCGUUCCUACCUUCUAUUUUUGACUAGAUAUUUUACUCAAACCUAUGCUGCAUUGUUGUCAAACAUACCCUGCAUGUUUCUCAUAUGUCCCUAAGCACUCUCAUUAAAUCCAAUAAAUGUUUUCAAGACAAUUUGAUGCUAUUUAUUCACAUCAAACUUUAUCAUCAUCUGCUAAUCUAUAAAUCACUACCUAGAUCUAAGUUUAAAAGGCGGAGAGACGAUCGUGUACAAAAGAUCUCUCCCCAAUUGAUCAACAGACAUAUUCAUCCAAUAUUUCAAUCCGCAUAAACGAGCACGCAAAACAAAUCCUACAAACUACAGAAUCCGAUUAAAAUCCAAACUGCAAUCCAACAGAGGAUAAAACUAACACUCAAAAGCUCGUCACCACGCAAGAGUUCACUAAAUCAGCAUCUGGUUUACUAAAUCACAACCCUCAAAAAAACUUUGUUUCAGCUCAAGUAAACUAUUUCAAUUUUCAAGUGAAAUUUGAAACAAACAAAGUUCAAUUCACGUCUUUCAACUUCCUAAUACCUGAUUCAAAAUCCUAAGCAUUCAAAAGAAAACAUCAAGUAAAAAAGAAAACUUUAAGAUCAAGCAAUUAGCAUUGAAAGCAAAAUUAGCAUAGAUCUAAGCAGAUUCAAACGAGAUCUAGCAGAUUCAAACAAACUGAAACACUCACCGGCGCCAUUCCCGAAGAACGUUACCUUCCUCCGGCUCCAUCUCAGCAGGAGGAGGAAGCACUGGACCAUCGGAGACAAAAACGUCGUCAUCGUGACCGCCGUAACCGUUUCCGUUUUCCAUCGCAUGCACUGGUUCGAAGGGAGACUGAGCGUAACUCGGAUCCUGAUCGCUGAAUCCGAAUACAUCCGGAGAUUCCGGCGCUGCUGUUGUGUGAUCUACGGGGACAUCUUCGGCGGAGUAGCUGGAGAAUCCGCCGUAUCCGGAGUAGCUGUCGUCGUCGCCAGCGGCGAAGUGGUCUUCGUUGACGGUGAAGGACAUGGCUGCGAUUUUCUCUCUCUAGAAAGUUGAUAGAGAGAAAGAGACUGAAAGAAUCGUCUUUUGAUUUUAACAGAACAUAACACUGCAUCUAAUAAGGAGCUUUUCCUUUUAUUUCUAUUUUUUUAUUCAUCAUGUAAUAAAACUAAUUUAAUUUUAAUAACAUUAUUAUAGUGUAAAUUAUUCUUAGACUUCCAAAUGAACCAAUAAGUUACCAUAAGUGGAACUUAAUUGGAAGAAGUGACAUGUAUGGUAAAGUAGUUCGUAAAUUUAGUAGUUGAGUAAAAAGCUGCGGAGGAAAAUAAAAUGACAUUAUGUGGAUUGGGUCAAGGUCUAAUCCAUCAAUGUCGAGUAAUCUUAAGUCAUUGGCUUAUAGGCAGACCAUCGUAUGAACUCGUCUUAUAGACAUUUUAGAAGAUCGAGUCAGGACGGUCUGAAAUAGAUAAACUCAUGAUUCGUCUACAUUGAUCCAUCAAAACAACGAUCUAAGGUACCAAUCCCUAAAUAACUCUGCCACAUAACAGUAUUUAUGCCAACACAAAAUGUGACGAGAAUGAUUUAACCGAUUUAAAAAGUGAUGAAUGACAAUUAACUAUCUCGCUAACAGUAGUUAAUCGCCAUUCAACAAAUGGUCACAAUUUUUAAUGAGCAAUUGCUAGGUGUUAAAAGAAAAAUUUCGCUAAAAUAAGCCAAUUUAUAAUUAGAUUAAAGAAAUAAAACAAAACGCAACGAAUGAGUUGUAACUUCCCAUAAAUCGAAAGUGAACCUUUAGGCCCUCCUAAUAUCCCUAGAGAUAUUGUGGGCCUAAAGAGAAACUCUAACUGAAAAUUACAAUUGAUCAAUCCGAGUAAAUAAAGCCCAGUACUAACCAUUUGUAAAAAUAAAAAAAAAAGAAAAAAGAAUAGUACUGAUCAUUUUGGGGAGGGAAUAGACCAGGCCGCCCGUCAGGGGCCUACUUAAAGCCCGAAUUGGCCUCUCUCGUUUAUUAUAUAGGUUUGGCUGAAGCUUUUUAAAAGCUCAUCAAUUUUAAGAGGUCAAACUAAGACUUAUAGAAAAGUCUGUUAGACCUACCAGAUUGGCCCAUAUAUGUGCAAUUAUAUAUAAUCCAUUAUAUUAAUACAUUUUUUAUUCCUUCAAAUUUUCAAUUCCAACGUGUACACAUACCUCUUAACUCUUACUAUUGUCAUUCUCAUCUCAUUCCAAAUUACAAAGUAAAGAACUCUAUUAGAAAUAAAAAUAAAGACAAUAUAUUAAAUCUAUGCAAUACACGUUUAUUAGUCUCUACAAAAUGGAUGUACAAACUCUACAAAAUUUUAUUGAAUAUACAUGCAAUAUAUACUUAUAAAGUGGAAAAAAAAUGCAUGUGCGACCAGAGUGGGAGUUGUAUUUUAUAUUAAUAUUAAUGAAAAAAGGAAAUGUUCUCAUUUUUAAACCAUUAUAAAAAAAAUAUUGUUUUUAUUUUAUAUUUCUUGAUCAAACAAAUGGGAGAGUGGAAGAAUUGAAACGUAAAAAAAUAGAAGUUGUCUGCCUUUCAUGAGAAGAAAAAAAGUUAUGUUUUAUAACAUCACAAAAAACAACACAAACUUUUAAGAGAUGGUAGGGGAGUGGCAACAUUAUUCAAAAAGUUUGUUAAGAAUCAGUUAGGAGAGAAUUUCUCUGGUUUAGAGCUACGUUACUCUGUCGGUUCUUAGAACUUUGGUAUCAUUUUCUGCUUCUAUUGCCAUAUUUUCACAGUUGUAGAGCUUUUCUAUUGCCAUGUUUUCGUAGAAAGUUUGUGUUUACUAUAUGAGAUUAUAAUCUUUGUAUCUUAUGUGUAUGUGCGUUUUUUUUUUUUAGGCAAAAAAUUAUUUAUUAAAGAAUUAAGUCAUUUACAUAAUGAUUCCUAAUAAAUCUGAAAUAUCUUCCCGCCAAAUCCUAUUAUUAGUGGUCAAAGUCAGUUUGGCUAAAGAAUGGGACACGACAUUAGUUACCCGACCCGAAAAGUUAAAAGCCACCAAAUCAAAAAACCUUCUCCCGAGAUAUAUUCUCUUUCUCGAUGGAAAGGAUCUAAACAAGGUCGUCACUGUGCCCUAAUUGUUGGAUGUGGAAGAAGAAAGAAAGAAAAAAAUUUGUUGUUAUUCAAAAUUCGUGGCGGAAAGAGUGGGGUCAUGGAGGUUACGGUUAUGUAAGUCUUGAACUGUUUGUACACAUUCGGGGGUGCAGGGAGUUACAUUUGCGGAACUUAUGCCUUGAUAUUGUGCUAACCUUGUAUACUUAAGUUAUCAAACUUGGAUAUUGUACUUUCAUGAUCAAUUUAUUUAUUUAUUUUUUAUAUAUUUUAGGGAAACUUUUUAUUAUUAUUGAUUGAUUCACAAAAAAAAAAAAAAACACAAACUUGACCAAUGGUUAUUUUUAGUAAACAAAUAAAUAUAUUAUUUUUGUUGAUAUUGAAUGACCUAAACAAUAAACAAUUUAUAUCAUUUUUUUAUAAUAACUAGCGAAAAGAUGGGACUCACGUGCUUGUCUUUCUGCUAUAUUUAUUGCGCUCACGUUUGAAGAUUAUGAACGGUAUUUUUUUUAUGAAAUUAUGAUUUUGAUUAAAACUAAAAAUAUAAAAAAAAUAAGGAAAAACUAAAAAUAUAAAUGUUUGUUGCUUUCAAGUUAUAACAAACCAAACUAAUCAUGAUUAUCUAUUUCAAUGAUACAAACAAUAUAACAAAAAUAAUAUAAUCUAAUUUUUUUUAAUGACACUAACAACAAUCUUUAUUAUAGAAAAAACUGUUUAAGAGUAUAAUUGAGAUAGUAAAGAAGUAAGUAUAAACAUCCUCAUAUAAUUUGUUACAUUUUUUAAAUGAUAAAGGAAAAAAAAAACAGACAUAAAUAUAUAUAUANAGUUCAUGGAUACCACUUAAAAAUGUGCUUAUGUGGCUAAUGUGUAUUGGUUGGGGUAAAUUACCCACCAUUCUUCCAUAGGUACCCUAGUUGUCACCAUAUAUAUAUAUAUAUAGAUAGAUAGAUAGAUAGAUAGAUAGAUAGAUAGAUAGAUAGGGGGUUGAUAACUUACUCCCAACUAAAAAUAUCAAGGGUAAGUUAACAAGCCUACUCCUACUUAUUAUUUACCAUAAUCUCCAUAUUGUCCUUAAUAAACAUUACUUUAGUGUAUGAGCAUAAUUGUAAUUUGCUUUUUCUAAUAAUAAUUUGUUUGAAACAAUUAUUUUUUUCACGUUGUUUGGCAAGGACAUCUUUAGCGUUUUUUAUGUUAUUUGUUCGUUUUUUUUUUUUCAUAAGUUGGAGAUGCACUUAACUAUGCACAUAUUGACAUACACAUUACUAUUAUUUUCUGUUAAAAGACACAUUAUUAUUUGUUAAAUAUUACAUAUCGCCAAAAUAUAUUCAAUAAAAAAGCAUAAUUUCUUCCCAAGAAACAUGCAUAGUUUCUAUAAUAUACAUUGCGUCUCUCGAUCGUAACUAUUGCAGUACAAUGACACUCAACAUGUUAUUAAAAAAAAAUAAAAUUGCUCAAUAGAUGAGUUAUAUUAACAAGGCUUAAAUAUGUGUCCAGUCUCUGCAAAUAGGUCUCAGUUGAAUUUUAGUCCAUGUACUUACCAAUCCUCCCAAUUUGCCACUGCAAAUAUUAAUCACUUAUAAUUUGGUCCAAAUUAAGAAGCCCUGUGCACGUGGCAGGUGAUGAGCGACGUGGCGCUGAUUGGCGUGUAGUGACUGGGAAUGAGUCAGGCUGACUCAGAUUUUAGGAUGCGAACUACCCAUUUUGCCCUUAAUGAAUCCUGAGACUGUAAAAAGACGAUUUUGCCCCUGACUUUCCACUUCCCUCUCAUUUGUUUCUAAAACACGAUUUUGAGGGGAAAAUUAAAAAAACUGGGGUUCCGAAUUAGAAACCCAGCAAAACCAAAGAAGCAGAAGGUCACAAACGAAGUUGAUUGGAGAAAACGAUUGCUGCGGUGGUGAAAACGAUUUCGCGAGGAGUUGCGGUGCAAACGAUUUCGCUGGUGUUGGAGCUCGUUUAUCGCAGGUGUGUUUGUGUUUUAUUUCUGGAUUUUCUAAACCCUAAAGGUUGAACGUGUGUUAGAUUUGUGUUAAAAACUAAAUUUUUGAAAUAAAAACCGUAAAAAAUGUUGAAAUCGUGUUUGAUUUGUUGAAAACCCUGUUCGAUUUAUGCAUACAAAACCCUAAAUGUUGAACCUGUAUAUUUAUGUUAAAAACCUUAUUCGGUUUAUGCAUUUUCAAAACCCUAAAUGUUGUUUUCGCAAUUUUUUGUACAUGUAUGUGUACUAUUUCUGUUGAUUGUCAUUAUGGAGGUUGUUUUAGUAGGGACUGGUUGAUAAGUUAUACAGGAGGGGAGGUAAGAAGGUUUGAAGGUUUAGACCCUGAUAAGUUUAGUUUUUUUGAAUUAUGUGGGUACGUAGAAGAAGAUUUGAGUAUUAAAAAGGGUACAUAUAGGUUAUGGUGGAUGCCUCAUUACGAAGUAAACUAUAGGGUUGUUAAGGUAGAUGCUGAUGUUAGUGAGAUGAAGGAAUAUGCUUUGAAAGUAAACAAGCCAGUUAACUUUUUUGUAGAACAUGAUGUUGAUGAAGUUAGUAGGUUGGUGGAUGUUCCAAACUGUGUUACUGUUACUAAUAGGGAAGUUGGACAAAGUUCUCAGGUUGAUGUAAAUGGAGAAGGACUAGAGAAGGAAAAGGUAGACAAGAAAGGAAAAUGUGUGUUGGUGUGUUAUGAUGAUGAGAAGUUAGGGAGCAGUGAAGAUGAGUCAGAUGGUGAAUAUUUUGAUGAUAUUGAGCAUGAUAGAGCAUUGGGGGUUGAUGAUGGGUUUGGACCAUAUGAUAUAACUACAUUGGAUAUGAAUGAAGUUGUGGGAAUGGUUGGGGCUAAUGGUAAAGAAGGGGGUAAAGGAGGGGCAUAUGAGAAAGGUUCAAAAACCAAGGAAAAAUCAAAGGUUGAAAAAGAAGAAGAUGAUUAUGAUCCUGAGUGGGAGAGAGAGUAUGAAAGUGAUGAGCUUUAUUCAGAUGACCCUGAUGAGUCAGACUUUGAAAGGGGACCAAGAGCAUAUGUGUUUAAGAUGAGCCAACUAACACCAGCCUUUAAAUUCAAAGUUGGUAUGGACUUUAAGUCAAUUGUAGAGUUCAGAAUGGCCAUUAGGGAGUGGAAUGUAUUAAAUGGAUAUCAAAUUAAGUUUGUGAAAAAUGACAAGGAAAGGUGUAGGGUAGAGUGUAAGGAUAAACACAAUGGGUGCAAGUAUGAGGCCCACUGCAGCAAAGUGGCUAACAGCCAUACAUAUAAAAUAAAGACAUUGGGUGUGGCCCACACAUGUGGUAGGUCAUUAGAUAACUCCAGUGCCAAUGCAAACUGGUUAACCAAUAUUGUUGUGGAAAAAAUGAGGGGUAGUGGUGAACAAAAGGUCAAAGAUAUCAUGAAAGAUCUGAGGAGGCAGUAUUCUGUUGGGGUAUCAUUUCAUACAGCUUGGAGUGCAAAGAAGAGGGCUACUGAAAUAUUAGAUGGUGAUGCAAAGAAACAAUACACUCUAUUGUGGAGGUAUGCAGCUGAGUUAAAGAGGGUGUGUAAUGGGAAUAAUCUCAAGUUUAAUGUUGAGAGAACCUUGUUAACAAAUCAACAAAGAUUCAGCAAGUUUUACUUUUGUUUUGAUGGUUGCAAGCAAGGUUUUUUGGCUGGUUGUAGGCCAUUUAUUGGAGUGGAUGGGUGUCACUUGAAAACUAAGUUUGGAGGUAUAUUAUUAGUUGAUGUUGGAAGAGAUGCAAAUGACCAAUAUUUCCCAUUAGCAUUUGGAGUUGUUGAGAAUGAAACCAAAGAGACAUGGAGGUGGUUUUUAACUUUACUGCUUGAAGAUAUUGGAAACAAAAGAUGGGUGUUUAUUUCAGAUCAACAAAAGGUAUUUAUGAUUAACUUAACUUAAUUUGAAGUUGUGUUUUAUUUAUUUCUUUAUGAUUAACUUAUCUUAAUUUGUUUGUAUGAUUCAGGGAUUGAUGAGUGUGUUUGAUGAAUGGUCUGAUAGAAUUGAACAUAGGUAUCUUAGGCAUCUAUAUGCCAAUUUCAAGAAAUUUUUUGGAGGAGGAACUUUGAUAAGGGAUUUGAUGAUGAGUGCAGCAAAGGCUACAUAUAGACAAGGUAAAAGCAUAACUGAUAUUUUUAUGUUUUACUGCAUAAUUUGGGUUUUAUUAAUAAGGGGUUUGACUGAAUGUGUAUAUGUUUGUGUUUUACUGCACAGCUUGGGUUGUUAAGAUGGAAGAGCUGAAAAAGGUGGAUGUGAAAGCAUGGGAGUGGCUAAUGGGACAUGAUCCUAAAUUAUGGUGCAAGCAUGCAUUUUCAUAUUAUCCUAAGUGUGAUGUAUUAAUGAAUAACAUUUCAGAGGCAUUUAAUGCUACUAUAUUAUUAGCUAGAGAUAAGCCAGUCCUCACAAUGGCAAAGUGGAUUAGAACAUACCUCAUGAAUAGGAUGUCAAAACUUAGGAAUAAGUUAAGUAACUGGCAAGGUGAUAUCAUGCCUAUGCCAAGGAAAAGAUUGAACACUGAGAUUCAGAAAUCUGGAAACUGGAUAGCAACAUGGGGAAUAGGUGAUGAGUUUGAGGUUGAAAUGGUGGGUGGUGGACAUAAGUUUACUGUAAACACUGCAAAUAGGACAUGUAGUUGUAAUUUUUGGGAGUUGGUAGGUAUACCUUGUAGGCAUGCAGUUGCAGCCAUAGGUAAGAGAGAUGGAAGGCCAUAAGACUUUGUCCAUGAGUGUUAUUCUAGAAAGACAUAUGAAGCAUGUUACAACCAUAAUGUGAGUGCCAUUAAUGGGCAAGAUAUGUGGCCUGAGGUGGAAUGUGAGGAGAUGCUUCCACCAAUUUAUAAAAAAGGGCCUGGGAGACCAAAGAAGCUGAGGAGGAGGGAGCCUGGUGAGGCUAGUCAAACACAAGGAAAGUAUAGCAGAGCAAACACAAGCUAUAGAUGCACAACUUGUAACAAAUUUGGCCACAAUGCCAGGGGAUGCAAGAGUCAGACAGUUAACCCUGAAGCACAAAAGAGGAAGGUACCAUAUUACUUUGUUCAUUAGAUUCAACUUGUAAUAAUAAUUAGAUUCAUUAUCUGCUUACUGUUUCUAAUGCAUACUAUGUUUAAUGUUAAAUGAUAGAGGAAAGCACCUAAAAAAACAACAAGGCAAGAGCAGAAUGAAGGGCAAUCAGAACAAAGUUAUGGGCUAGCAGAGGGCACAAGCCAGGUUCAAAGUGAAGUUGUAAGUCAAGGUGAAGCAUAAGUUGAAGUUGGUCAAGCACAAGUUUCUCAAAGGCAAGCACAAGCACAACAUUCUCAGGCAACUCAAGUUGAAAGUAGUCAGGGAUCUAUAAGUACUAUGAUGGGUGAGAAAGUUGAGCCAGUCAAGAAGAAGAGAAAACUUGUUAAGGGACUUCCUAAAUUCAACCCACCAAAACAGGUAAACCCUCCAAAACAACCACCCAAACCACCUGUUGCAUUUAUGAGAACAAACCCACUUGCACUAACACAAACACAAACUAUCAUUGAACCAUCUGCAUCAAUAAACACCACAGUUCACACUGGUAGGCGGUCACAAACAAUUGUAGCACCAUCUGCAAAAGUCAACACAUUUGUACAAGCUCACCCAAACACAAUUAACAUUGCUAAGCCUAGUGCAAAGGUCUACACCAAUGUUAAGACUACCAACACAUUUCAAACAACUGUGAAACCAUCUGUUGAUGUGAGUACAACAGUAAACACAUCAACACAUUCAAAAACAUAUGUUAAACCAUAUACCAUUGUGAAAACUAUUAAAAUCUGUUCCACCCAAACCAUCUGUUGCACCAACACAAGCACCAAGACAAGCAAAGUCAGAAGGUAAGAAGCUUGACUUAGGUAAAGUGAGGAGAAGUGGUAGGAAUGUUUUGAGAACUAAUGCUAACAAGAAGGGACCAGGAAAGAAGAUGGAUGACCCAAUUGAUAUAGAUGAUGAUUGUAAUGCUGAUGCUCAGAAGGAGACUGAUCCCCCUGUCAAAGUUGUCCCAGAGGCAAAGCUUGGAUCAUGUCUAGGCCUCCUUAGAGAAGUUGACACCAUCAAAUAUGUUUAAUGUGUUUUAAUUAGUUGGUUUUAACUGUGUAUGCAACUUGAAUGGAAUUCUGCCUAGCCUUUUGGUUGUGUUUAAGUAUUUUGGUUGUAAUUCUUGGCUAAGACCAAGUAAUGUUGACAGAUUAUGGGUUACACCCUUUAAGUAUCCUAGUUAAGUAUUUUGGUUGUAAUUCUUGUCUAUGCACAAGUUAUGAACAAGUUCUAUGUUGACAUCAUCUAUUAUUAAUGUAAAAUAUUUAUGCUUUCCUAAUUCCAUAUGAUGUAUGUAUGUCAACAGGUUCAAUCACAAACAAAUUUAAUUCAUAAGAUCACAUUUUUAUCAAACCAAACCAACAUAUUACACAUUGUCACAUUACAAGUUCAAAUAAACACAUACACAUUACAUAAACACCACAAACACAAACACAUUGUUAUCUAAAUCCCAAACACGUUACAUUACCACAAACACAUUACUAAUCAUAUUCCAACUUCUCCACUUAACUCACUACUUCUUUGCAUAACAUACCACAAAGAACACCAAACUAACUAUAACAAACAACUUCAACCAGUCAAAUUUCUUCUUUUGUUGCACCAAUUUCAUCUUCAUUUUUUCUUUCUUCCCGUCCCACAUUCCCUGCAAAUUUUCUGCACAGUUACACUUCUCUGAUCUAGUCUCCACAUUUGACAUUCCCUGCUUAACUUCUUCGACCACCGCUUUCGACGACUCUUUCCUUGGCUGCUCAAUUGAUGCAUUUGAUGGAGUAGCUGGCACUGUAACAAAAGGUCUCGUAGAAGGACCAAGUUCAUCAUCCCAAAUUAACAAGUUACAUUUCCUUGCUUUCUGUGCAUCAUGAACAACAUUCCAACAACCCAUUAAUUUUCAUUCUACAAAAACUACAUAAUAAGCAUUAUGAACACACUAACCUGCCAAUUGCGACACUUCCAAAACCUACGCCCCUGAUUCUCUAAAGUAGUUGCAAUGUAGAUCACCAUAGGUUGAUGACAGUAGCACACAGGAAGCAUUCCACGCGAGGUCUGCAUCUCUUAAGGUGGGUCUUUACGAUAACAAGUUACCCAGCCCAUUGAGUAAGAGUCUUGGGUGGAAGUUGCAGUUGACGACAUUUUUUGGAGCUAAAAACGAAGCAAAGCGGAUUUAGAGGUGACGAAUUGAUUAUUGCAAAAGGAUUUGGUGAGAAAUUCGAACAAUAAUAUGUUGGUGAAAUUAGGGUUCUUGUGAAAAUGGAGGAAGAAAAAUAGAGGAAGAAGAAAGAAGAAGAAGUCGUGAAAGAAGAAGAGAGGGAAGAUAUAAGUGGAAAGUCAGGGGCAAAAUCGUCUUUUUACGGUCUCAGGAUUCAUUAAGGGCAAAAUGGGUAGUUCGCAUCCUAAAAUCUGAGUCAGCCUGACACAUUCCCAGUCACUACACGCCACAUCAGCGCCACGUCGCUAAUCACCUGCCACGUACAUAGGGUUUCUUAAUUUGGACCAAAUUAUAAGUGAUUAAUAUUUGCGAUGGCAAAUUGGGAGGAUUAGUAAGUACAGGGACUAAAAUUCAACCGAGGCCUAUUUGCAGGGACUGGACACAUAUUUAAGCCUAUUAACAACUUAAAUGUGUUUUUUGUCAAAAAUAAAUAAAAUAAAACAUUUUUUUAUUUUUAAAUUUCAUAGUUUAAUUAUAACUGGUGCAGUUGAGUUUGUUAAAAAAGUUCUACAGAACGUGCCAUCUCAUUGUUCUGUGUAUCUUAUUGUUGAUUGUUGUUAUGGAGGUGGACUCGGAGAGCUUUGUGCCCCAAAUGUAGUGUUGUUUGAGGGAGCACAGGAAUCUGAAGAGGGUUGGGGAGGAACCGAGGGGUCUAACUUCACGACACACUUUAAGGAUAUUCUUACUGCAUAUAACAACAUACCACCCGAAGAAAUCGCCAAUGAAUUAAAUAGAAGAUUCAACUCUGGUGGUUAUGGACAAAGGGCAAGUCUCUUCUCAUGAACUGCGAUAACCAACCACAUCUCACUAUUUGUGUCUAUUUGUAUUUGUUUCUUGCAAACAUUGAUUCUGAUUUGUAAUUCAUUGUCAACUCCUUAACUUCCUUCCAUUAAUCUUAGGUACAAACACUCAGUCACCGACAACAUAAAAAAGAGAAGUAGUUUUUUAUUUAAAAAAUAAUAAUUAAGACUAAAUUUACAAAAUUAUCCUUUUCUAAUUACAUAAUUAAAAUAGAUGGUAUUGAGUUUUUGGUAAAAAGCAAGUGGGAAUAAGCUUGCUAACUUACUCCUUCAUGUUUUUGGGUGGGAGUAAGUUAGCAAACCCCAUAUAUAUAUAUAUAUAUAUAUAUAUAUAUAUAUAUAUAUAUAUAUCAUGUUUGUUAAUUUUUUUUUAAUAUUUAACUUUAUUCUUAUCUAUUUGUUACAUGUGUUAUUUGUAUUGAAAAUUGAUGGCAUUUUGGAAAAGAGAAAAAGUCAGCCCAAAAGAGUUGGAAGAGGUUAUUUUCUUUAUAUAUAGUAUAGAUAUAUGUGACAAUGCAAUUUGAAAAUAAAAAAUCUUUCGUUAUCUUAAGAUGUUUUUGUUCAUUGGAUGGUGGAGAUUGAGAUCUAAAAGUCAUCUUAACUCCAUUCCCAUGUAGGGGGUGUUUUGGAACAUUGAGAAUGUGGUUUUACCAAGGGAAAAGAAGUAAUAGACUUUAAAUUUGCAAUGAAAUUGACAUCGGAAACAAUUGUAAUUGUUAAGUUUACAAAUAGUUUGCCCCACUAUAAUCGCAACUAUGCGAAAGUACUAACGAUACAAGGAAUCAAAGUGAGAAAAUACAAGAAAUUGAAGUGAGAAAACACAAUAAAUCACAACUACCUCAGCUAUUGAAACACUUCGCCGUCGAUUUGUUCUCCUAUCGCAAGAACUUGCAAGAUAUCGAAGAGAGAAAUUGCAAGAAAUCGAAGUGAGAAAACAUUAGAGUUGUUGAAAACAAAUACUUCGUCGCCAAUUUUAUCUCCUAUCGCAACAGUCUUCUCCAAUUACACUUCCCAUUCGCCGUCGUUUUCUUUCUCUUCGAAACAUUACUUUCAAAAUCCACCCCCAAUUCUAAGUUUUGAUAUUAUAUCUUUUUUUUUCUUCCUUUUUUAUUUAAUUUUAAUGUCAAAAUAUUAAUUUGCUUUUAUUAUUAUUAUUUUAAUUGUUCAGUAGUAUGGCCACAUGUGUAAUAGGUUGGCCACUUGUCAAAGUCAACCGGUCAACUAACGGAAAGGCAAACUUAUAUUAACAUUGCAAAUGUUUUGGACUAAUAUGAAACGUUUUGGACCAGCUUAUAUUAAUGUAGAUCCAUAACAAUCAUAUUUUUAACUAACAUAAUUAUAUUUGCCUACACACUACUUGCAAUAAGGUCUUAACAUGAACAAUUAUAUACGUUGAGGACUAGUUAAUGUAAAUAUUUGAAUUCACUAGGAUUCUUUUUGUGUUUGUAUGUUAUGGUUAUGACCAUGAAUAAAUAAGAAUAAUUAAAACUACUGAGUGGUUGAUGUAUACCUGUUUUGUUUCAAUUUUAACAAAACGUAAAAAACAUAGAAUCUAUCUGUAUAAUUUAUUAAAAUAGAGUUAUAGAUUUAUUGUUGACACAUCGUCAUUGUUUUGUCAUAUAAUCAUAAUUUUCUCAUGUCAUAAAUUUUUUGAUUUGUCACUCUUGAAACAUAUUCGUCCACCCAUCCCUUAAAUUCUCUUUGUGUAAAUUAAUGUCUUAUUACUUAUAUUUUUUAUAUUUGCUACAACAAUUUCCUACGUUUUCCAUACACAAACUUUAUAUCCUAUGUUUACACUAAAUUUAUAAAUAAAUUAAUCGUGUCUUUCGCAAUUCAUCUGUUUUCAUUAUUUCUAUUUAUAAGCUACUUAUAUUUUCUUCAUAUUGUUGGUAUGUUUACGAGUCUUCCUCCAACUACUAUGUAACACACAAACACAUUCACUUGGUCACUCAUCCAUUAUAUUUUUGUCAAUAAUAAAGUUCAUGGUGAAAAACAAAACCAAAUAAAAGAACAACUAGUACGUCCAAACAAAAGAGGCAUAUAAAUUCCAAUUAAUGUAUAAUGUAUAUUUUUAUUACUGUGUUAUAGAGGCGUGUUACAAUAUACGUUGGAAUGUAUAUAUUUAUAACAUCAAACAUUUUUUACUCAUUCUGAGAUCUUUAGAACCACAUAGUUAGUGGUUUUGAAAAUGAAUUAGUUUUUCAUCGCUCAGUUUUGAAAAUGAAUAGAACCACAUUUUUUACUCCUUGCCUAAACUUAAUUGCCUAUUUGUCGAUGCCAACUAACAAAAUAAUUAUUUUUAUACAUUGCUAACGAGUUCUUCCAAGACACUCUUUAAACAUUUAACAUUAAGAAAUUAUUUUUAAAAAAGUCAAACAGUUCAAUUUCCAAUGCAACAAAUAAACAAAUUUUCAUAGAAUUUACCAUUUAAGAUUUUUUUUUUGACAAAUCCACUUAAGAUUCUUAAAUAGUGUCUUAGAGACACUCAUUACCUUUCUCUUAUUAGGUGUAAACACUAAUACAUGCAAGAUUGAAACUAACUUUACCUCCCACUACUUUCUCACCGUCAAAUUUUGCCAACCAAGCCAAUAAACACCCCUUAUUUUGUCCCCUUUAUGGAGCCCCACAAAAAAAAAAAUCUAAUAUAUAUUUCAUUUUCUCCCCCUUAAAAAAUUGGAAGAAGGAACACACAACGGAAUAUGCAUGAACAAUUUGAGCAACAAAUUUAAUUAAAGCUUUAAUACUCCACGCAGAAAUUCUCUUCCACUCUGACUUAUGCAUAUUUCAGGAGUUUGGGCUUCACUUGUAUACAAACAAGUUUCAAAUUGGUAUAAUUUGAUGCAUGUUUUUUUUACUUCGGAUUAUAUAAUCAGAUGCAAAAUUGAAAAAACAGGGAGCGUGUGAGAGAUUUAGAAGGUGGAAAAAGAAAAUCUCUAUCAGCUUUUUCAUGGAUAAAAAAUGUUAUCAAGAAACAUUUAUUCCAAUAUUAUAUUUUAUUAUAACAAUAACAUUUAAAUUUAAAUAAAAUGGGUCUCACAUAAAGGGUGGAUUCUAGGGUGAGGGAGCAAUUAAGUCCCUCAUUGGUGGACCAUGUCUAACAACCUUUAGAUUAAUGAGUCCCCAAUUUUUAUCAUACACCUUUCUGCACUUGAUCAGUUUUCUUUCUUCUCCAUCCUCUGCCUUCCUUCUCAAAUCUCAUUUCAUUUCAAUCCAUCAUGCAUAAUUAUUCCAAUUAUUCCUCAAUAAUACAUUUCCUUUAAAUUUAUGAAUUAUCUUUCAAAAAUUAUAUGUAUCGUUCACCCUCAAAUGUCCCAUAAAGGGUGUUGUUCUAUAACUCAAUCAUGCUACAAAGAUCUGAUUUAUAAGUCAUACCUUUAUUUAUUUUAUUGGAAACUUAUAACCUUUUAUGGUUAAUUUCACUUGUAAAAUAAAUUAAAAAAUUGAACACUGCAAAGGGAUUUUUUUUUAGGCAAAAGAAUUAAAGUUUUUAAAUUGAUACGGUGACUGAAUUUCAUUUUAAUCUUUGUUUGCUUGCAAAAUCAAGGAUUGUGUUUUUAACCCACGCAACAGUAUAUGGAAAUAACGUCACCAUAGAGCCAUGGUUUUACUGGUGAGAGAAGAAGAUAUUUGUGAUCCAGUGUAGAUAAUGUACAAUAUGAUGUGUGUACUUGAUUAAUCUGGCGCCUCUUAAUGGUGGUCCACCGAUGAGGGACUUAGUAGCUCCCUCACCCUAGAACCCACCCACAUAAAGUGGUGAGACCUACAUUAAUUUCAUCAAAUAAGAGAAUAAAUGUUAGAGAGAACAAUAAAAAGAAAGUGUUGUUAGCACUCGUCCUCACCAAUUCGUCUUGGGGAACAGAAUUGGCAAAUAAUCACAAUUGAGAACUGUCAUAUUCAAUAGUAAUAGGUUGGAUCAAUUGGGGAACAAAAUAUGGUUGUACUUGUACGUUGUACCAUCACUUUGAGUUGGAAAAAUAAACGCUGAAUCAAUUCUAAAUUCCAAUAGAUUGGGUUGGUUACUCUUGAGUAUCAAUUGCAUUGCAUUGGACUUGCCUCACCAUCUUGUGUUGUGAACCGGUCUCAAAGCAUAUCCAUCAAUUGGGACCACCACGAUGCAAAUCAAUGUUUUUACCGGUGCUUCACCCCAUUUCAGUAGAGGAAUAUACAUUGGUUACAAAAUGUGGGUGUUGCUCUAUGUUGGCGGCACUGAGCUCGGUGACAAAAAUACUGAGGCCAAGUACUCGCCCGUUUAAGUUGAAAUGGUCCCAACCCAACAGCCACCACCCUUCACAUUGUUGAAUCAGUAAUAUAUACAUAUGCAUGCCCCAGCAACAAUCAUACUAGCAAGUGAGAUUAAAAAUCCUGUUACUUCUGUCAAGGAAUUGCUGUAGCAUUUCUACGAUAUCUACCAGAAGAUGCGAAUCCUUGAAGAAUUCGUGAAUGUUCUUGCUUCAAACGUUUAUACGAGAAUCCCUGAAAUGGCCUGAUUCACAUAACAAAAAUAGCGAGUUAAUGACCAACGGUGAAGAAAAAUAGUUACCAUGUAUCAUGUAUGAGAAUAAACAACUUCAAAAAAAAUAAAAUUAAGAAAAUCAAUGUCAGAUGCCAAUUCUAUCUGUAGUGGCUUGGCAAACCAUGGCCAGUCUAGUUUUUGAAAAUGGAGCUACCUUCUAGAUUCAAAUAGAUGCAAACUACCACGUGCCAGAUUAGAGAGCACAACAACAUGGAGACCGGAGAGUAUAGAAAGUCCGCUCAUUAUACCACAAAAAAUGAAAAGAAAAUUAAAUAUACACAAUCUUCUAAUCAAAAUAAUAUAAUAGACCUGGGAGAACUCUGCCAUCUCUGAAUGCCUUGGCCAUGCAUUGUUCUUUGACUUCCAAGUGCCUUCUCAGCAGCCUGAAGAACGAAACACAUCUUACUAUCUUAGUACUCCAACACCAAUAUGGAAGAAAGUUAAUCAAAUUCAAGGAAGAAGGCAUACACAUCCAUAUAUAUUGUUUCAUCAUUAAAGAAAACAUAAUACCUGCAUUUUAGCCACAUUCCAUGUUAAUCCGGUCCCCUUACCAUACACCUGGCCAUCUAUCUCAACCUGAAAGAGAAAACUCAUUAAAUCUUGCCAGAGCUUUGCUACCAUUAUUAAAAAAAGACAAGAAAAAUGCCCUAACUAAUAAUGUGUCGGGUAAAACAAGACACCGUAAUUAAGGUAGAGAAGGCUUCCAGGUCAUCCUUUAUAAGUCCCAUCGGACACAAGUACGCCAUUAACAAGACUACUACCCCAUUCCUGAGCCCAGAUUUCAUUUAGUAAAUGAGAAUUUCCAUCCAACACUCACCCCACAACUUCCCUCCUCAAAAAUAAGAAUAGUAAACCACAUAAAUAGAAGGGAAAAAAUAAUAGUUCAGAUAUUUUAUCCUGGACACCAAACUGUCUAAGACAAAAAAUAUAAAGAAAAUCCAAACAUCAAAAAAAUGUCUCUCAAUCUUUUUUUUCUGCCCCUCAAAGGAAUAAAGAACUAAAACACACAGGUUUUGAAAGAAGGCAUAGCCAUUUUGUAAUUCAAUGAGAAUGUCCUUUUUAAAUGAACUAGUUCAGACAACUGAAGCAUUUGAUUACCAACCUGUGGGGUGCAUCAAUUCUAUCCUCAAACGAGCGCAUUGUGUUUGCUACAACAAGGGUUUCAUCCAGAUCAAACACUAUACCCAAACAUCUGAGAUUUAACAUCACAAGGGACGAAUUAUAAAGUCCCAUGGGAACAAUAAAUCCCCAGAAACAUGGUCUGUCAUCAUUCCACGAAUGUAAUGCAACCAAGAUGUAAUUCUUCCCCGAACAGGCGGAACAGCGGCAUAACCCCAUUCUGUAGAGGUCAACAUUGUAUUAACAAUUAUUAAUAUCCAACAAGAAAAUUAAGUAUGGAAAGAAAAUAAAUGUAACGGAUAACCGCGUAAAUUUAAGUAAGAUGACGCAUAUAAGAUAAGGUGCAUUGUAAGCCAGUGGAAGUUGGGUAAAUGCUAAAGAAGCAUACAGUGCCAAACAAAAUUUGACAUCAUAAACAACUCAAACCAUCUUUUCUGUAUGAUACAUAUUGGACAGAUUUGCUGUUCUGUUCAAGUCAGAAAGAAAAAAAAAUAUUUUAUUACACUUUAGACCGUAACUGAAAUGUUUUAUGCAUAUCAUAUAUAUACCUGAAAAUCGAGUGUAUAUCAGAAUUGUGUUCUUUCUCUGAAACCUCAUCAGCAGUUUGGUCUAUAUAGCCUGAUGAGUGUGUGAGAACGCUGGAACAAUUUCAGAAUGAACUUCUAUUGCUUUAACAUUGUAAAUAACAUGAUCAAUUUUAGUACACAUAUAGUUUCACCAUCCUGGUAGCAAUUGACCACUGUCAUCACCACAAAAAUUCAUUGUUGAUCCACCACAUCUCAAUUUUCUCACAAAAUCCUCAUCACACUUGGACCUAGUGGGGCAUUUAAGACCGAGUUAUUGAGGAUUGGCUCUAACUACAGUUUCAUAACCCCUGAUGGUGUGUCUAUCAAAGCACUUGUCAUGCUUUCUUAGAAAUCGUGGUUGGGUGUUACACAACCCCACAAAACCGACUUGUGAGGUGAGGAUUGCCCCCACUUAUAAACACUUGUUUAGGCCAUCUCCCAUCCAAUGUGGGACUCUUAACACACCCCCUCACGCUCAGGACUAGACACCUGGAGCAUGGAUAUAAAAGGUGGGUGACCUGAUAACAGAUGACCCAACUUAUCUUAGAGUUGGCUCUGAUACCAUCUUAGAAAUCAUGGUUGGGUCUUACACAACCCCACAAAACCGGCUUGUGAGGUGAGGAUUGGCCCCACUUAUAAACACUUGUUCAAGGCAUCUACCAUCCAAUGUGGGAAAAUCUUCAACCUUCUAAUCUCAGCUUUUUUGCUAAAUUUAAGUCCUUUUCUCCCCAUUUCUAUCAGCAAUUUUUUCACCUCAAUUUCGUACGACCGUUUAAGUGAGCGGUCUAUCUCUGGUUCAUACGAUAAAUUGAGCCAUCCACAGGUUAGAAUGUCGUAUGUGAAAGAAUUAGGAAUUCUUCCUUUUGUCAGCAAAUCAUUCAAAAGUUCUCUAGCUUCAAUCAUCUUUCCAGAUUUUGCAUAAUCACUAAUAAGCACAUUAUAGGUUUUUAAAGUGGGAACAAAACCUUUGGUUAUCAUUUCAAUGUGAAGUAUUAUAGUUUUUUUUCUGUUUCCAACUCUACCAUAUCCAGAAACCAAUAUGUCAUAAGUAGCGGCAUUUGGGACAAGUCCUCUUUCGUUCAUCUCACUAACUAAUUUCUCUGUCUCUUCCAUCAUCUCUUCCAUCAAACCAGCAUUUGAAAGACCUCCUAAAAGGGUAUUGUAAGUAGUAAUAUUUGGAGCAAUUCCAUCAACAAACAUCUGUGAAUAAGUCUUCAAUGCCUUCUCCACGUGACUUCCUGUACAGUAACCGCGAAUAAGGGCGUUGUAAGUAACUAAAUCAGCUGAAAUUCCACGUUUUACCAUUUCAUCAAGGACCACUUUUGCCUUUCUAGUCAUCCCUAACCUGCAAAAUACAGUGAUUAGUGUGUUAUACACAGUCAGGCUGAGUUCGAGGCCUGAGGCGACAAGUUUCUCGUGAAUUUGCAAAAUUUUGUCUGCUUUUUCACUCCUUGAAUAUGCUUUAACCAGAAACUUGUGAGUAAUUGGGGUUGGCACAAACUCCAUAACUAACAUUUCAUCUAAAGCACUUUCUGCUUUUUCAACUGCACCAGUUUUACAAAGCCCGCCAAUCAAAAUGUUAUAAGUGACUGCAUUUGGCAUUAUCCCGUAGCUCUUCAUCUCAUUCAAAAUAUCCAAAGCAUCUUCUGUCUUACCUUUGAUGCAGUAUGUGUUAAUUAUAGUGUUAUAUGUAAUACAAUCUGGAGCCAAACCCAAUUCUAUCAUUCUUGAACAAACAUAUCGCGGGUCAUAUUUCCCCAGCCUCAAGAGCCCCUUAAUCAAAGCAUUGUAAGCAACAACAUCAAACCGGAUGUUUUUCUCUUUCAUUUCCUGGACAAUGGAAAGAGCGGCUAACUGGUUUCCUUCUUUAAAGUAGCCAUCUAUUAGAGAAGCGUAAUUAACGAUAUCCGGGUCUAUACCCUUGGAGUACAUAUCUAUAAUUAAUGACCGAGCUUCAUCCAUCCUCCCAACUCUUUUCAAGUUGUUCAAUAAGAUAUCAAAUAUGACAUUGCUUUCCUCCAAUCUACGCGAUUUCAUUUCCUUACAGAAAUCAUCAGCAACGUCUUGUUCACCUGCCUUAAAAUAGCCAUCAAUUAAAAUUGCAUAAACAAUAGUAUUUGGCAUAACAUUCCUUUGGACCAUCUCCCUUAACACAUCAACUGCUUUACUAAGCAUUCCUUUUUUAGCAUAUCCAUUUAUAAUGGAAGAAAAGGUAAUAACAUUUGGAGGAACAUGUUCCUUCUCCAUUUUUUGUAACACUAACUCUGCAAGUUCCAUUUUUCCUAACUUGCAAUACCCAUCAAGCAAUGCCGAAUACGUGACACAGUUUGGGGCAAGAUUGAGCUUUAGAAUAGUUUCGAACACUUCCUCAGCCUCUUUAGUUUUCCCAACUUUGAAAAGUCCAUCCAUUACAGUUGUGCAUGUAACUAUAUCAAAAGAAAUGCCCCGAACAACCAUUUGGCUUUGAAGAUUAAAAGCUUCCAUAACCCUCCCAGAUUUGAACAGCGAGUUAAUAAUCGUAGCAUACGAGACAUGAUUAGGAUCUAAACCCAUUUCAUACAUCUCUCUAAACAAAACUGCUGCCUCAGUUAGUUUACCAUGCCUGCAGAAUCCAUAAAGAAUAGAACUACAAGUAACCACAUCUGGCAUGAUUCCAUUCAUAAUCAUCUUCUUAUACAAAGAAUGUGAUUCUUCAACUCCAACAAACUUACAGUACGCAGCGAUUAAUGUUGUGUAUGUGACAAGUGUAGGCUGCAAAUUUUUUAUCUCGUUUUGAGUUACAACAUCAUUAUUUUUCAACCGAUCUUCGUCUUUCCAAAAUCCCAAAAUCUCAUUGAAAAGAGAUUCAGCCCUUGUAAGAUCACCCGUUUUACAAAAAGCUUUAAGCAGAGUAUUAUAAGUAACAAUAUCAAUCUUGACAUCACUCCUCCAGCUAUUCUCAAUCAACUCCGUUGCUUGACUCAUCAAACCAGCUUCACAAUACCCAUCAAUCAAGGUAUUCAAACCAAUAACAUCUUUUGUAACCCCACCAUCAACCAAGUUGUACAUAACCCACUCAGCGUAUUGAACCAAUCCAAUUCUGCAAUAACCCUUGACUAGUAUAUUACAAGUGAUUGAAUCAAAACAUAAACCUCUUUUAACCAUUUCAGACAACAGACCAAAACCCUGAUCAACCAACCCUUUCUGACAGAAUCCCCAAAUAACAGUAUUAUAUGUAACAUUAUCAAUAUCAACAACAUCGUUGUUCCUAAGAUAUCCUAAAGCCAAAUCCAAAUCACCAACUUUACACAACGAAUGAACCAAAACAUUAACACUGAAAACAUCAGGUACAACUCCACAAAACAGCAUAUCAGAAUACAUAAGUUUUACCUGAGAAACCAAACCAGAGGCAUUGAAUUGAUACAAAAGGGUAUUCCAGAAAGGUAAAGUAGGAACAAGACCAAGAGCACGCAUGUGAGAGAAAGUGGCAGAGGCGGUGGAGAAUCUGUCAUGUGUCAAGUAGAGGCGAAUGAGGGUGCAGAAGAAUGAAACAUAGAGAUGGGUUUUGGUGGGUGGGAUAAAAAUUGAAUCUUUAUGGAUUUGGGAGGAGAAUGUUCUUGUGAUGGGUGUAGGGUAGAAAAAUCUUCUGAGUCUGGUGGGGGGUGAGAAAAAGAAUAUAAGGGUGUUUGUUUGCACCCUUAUUUUCUUCAGAUGCAUCAUCAUCAUCAUCUACUAUGUCGAUUCAAGUUCAGCUGCAUGGUGAUUGGUGAGAAUGGAAGUAAGCAGCAGCAAGUAGUAACACUAUGGGAGGAAAGCGGAGCUUGGGUUGAGGGAGGAGAGUUCUCUGUUGUUGGUGGUAAACGAAGAAAGAGAAAAUUAACUUUUGAUCCCCAAUUUUACUUUUUUUGAGUUUUGGUCCCCAUCAAUUUUAAAGUCAAAUAGUUUCGUGUUAGAAAUUCUCUUUUUGAAUGCAAAUAUGUGGAAUGUUUGAGAUUUUAAUUCGGACCUUCUAUAUAUUAUACAAUGUUCAUAUCAAUUAAUUUGUAACACUCCGUUUUCCUAAUAUAAAAAUUUCUAAUACAUUUAUCAGAGUAAAUAUCAUAGACAACGGGAUAUCACAUAUAACAUAAUCCAAAACAGUUUAAUAAUAAUUUAACCAAAUAACUUAAACAUUGCAGCGGAAAUUAUAUCAUAAUUCAUAAAAUGUUUUGGCACGCAGGCCCCAGCAAAAUAUUUCAAAUCAUAAUCCAUAAUAUUAUAAAAAUAACAUAUUAGUCACGCAAAAGAAUGAAGCAUGCAUAACAUAAAACCCCAUCCCGUUAUGUAUCAGAGCGACCUAGACGACACAGUGAGGCAAGGCCACUCACAACAGCAAACUGCACACUAAGCACGAUCACCUGCAAGUUACCCAUACAAAGGGCAACAUUUUCAAGUAGAAAGGGUGAGAUUUCAUAACAAAAUAAUAUUAAUCAAUGUAAUUCGAAUCAUAAAUUAACAUUAACAUCAUAUUCAAUCUUAAACAACUUUGCAUAUUUGAUAAACAAUUAUCACGUAAUCACAUAUUCAAUCAUCAUCAACAACAUAGUAUCUUAGACACGACAAUGCGACAAUGCUCUUAGACUCCUUAUAUGCAUGUGGUACCAAUCGUCAUCAUAAGUAUUAAUAUAAUUUAAACGUGCGGAGGACAAAGCUCCUAAUAAUCGUGGUGAGGACUAAGCUCAAUGAAUGCUAAUACAUGGACUCUUAUCAACAAAACAUCGUAAUCAUCAUAUCAAUAUGCAUCCAAUAAUUUGGAGCCAACGUUAUCUUAUUCAUCAUAUAUAGACAUUAUGCACUUAGUUAAAUAACAUCAGCAGCAUAGUCAAGUCACACAACAACAGGAUGAUAUCAUUAUAUCAAUUGCAAUUCAAUAGCAUCAUAAUAUUUAAUUCAUAACUUACAUAAUGUAUAAUACAUUAAUUCAUGCUCAAUUAAUAUCAACAUAUCUUAAACGGCUUUACAGAUUGCAUUAAACAUCAUCAUUAGGUCUCAUUACCAACUAGGGGUUCACUCUUGAUCAAAACGUGCGACACAGAUCGCACAAACACUCAAGGCACUCCAAUCUGGAAGUGCUCGCGAGGCGAGAGUAUCUACUCGCCAUGGCGAGUACCAGACAAAACCAAACUAAAGUUGUUCUAGGUUUAAUCUAGUCCUACAUUCAUCCCUUAUCAUUACUAGAUAUGUUCAGGCACUCAAAGGCACUCAAGGUCCAACUAAAAAGUCGAAAAUACAAAAUCUAACAUGCUCUCUGCCUUAGCUCGCUAUGGCGAGUAAGGUUGCUCGCUGUGGCGAGCUGCAUUGUACAACUUGCGAGGCGAGGGAAAAGGCAUCGCGAGGCGAGCGAUGAAUGUCGCUACGGCCAGACUUCCUAAUUUCACAAAAAAUCAGCGAUUCACAUGGUUCUAAGCCUGAUAUUGAUUCCAAAGUUCGACCUAAACAUUAUCUAAGGUCUAGGGGCACUUUCUACAUCAAUUUAUCCAAUUCCUACCGUUCGAUUAUCAAUUCUAGGGAUUUUGACCUAGUUUUCGUUUUCUCCAAUUCAAUCCUAAAGCUUGCUAACUAAUCAUCAGAAUCACAAUCAAUUAACAUUACCGAGUUAUUAGUCUCACCCUUACCUGGUUAUGAAGAAAUCGCAGCCCUCUCUUUGAUCUUCUCCCUUCUAAGCUUUUUCUCCCUUUUCCAAAAGUUUUCACGUACAAUGGUUUUUCUAACAAUUAGGUCUUCCCCUAUUUAUAUCUCUUCCUAAUAACUUAUCUUAUCUCACUUUCUCCCCCAAAACUAUCUAAAAUCUCAAAACAACCCUUAACUAAAUAUUUUAUAUUAUUUUCAAAUCUUUAUUUUAUUUAACAAUAAAAUAAGUCUCAUGUCCUUAUCAAAACCUUCAACUCAUAACUUAUCACAUUAUCAAAACACGUCAAAUCUUUCAAAUCAACUUAACUCUUCUAAAUUCAACAAAACUCACAUAUAUAUUAUAAAAUUAAUUAAAUAAUUAAUUAAACGAAAGUGGGCGUUAUACAAUUCAUCUGAAUUUACGAAAAUCUCAUCCAUGAUAUGCAACGACGUGACAGUUUGGAUGGACACAUUUAUUAUACAUGUAAUUUUUUUUAAUUCAACAAUAAAAAAUUAACACUAAAAAAACAAUUCUUUUAAAGCUUAAUAGCAGUUUUAGCCCCCUAACUUUUCUAAAGUUGCGAUUUUGGCCCCCUAAAGGAAAAAACUACAAAACUGCCUCCUAAGUUUUGCACAUGUGGCUGUGACAAUUUUAGCUCCCAAAAUCGCAACUUCGUGAAAGUUAGGGGUGAAAACUGCUAUUAAGUCUUCUUUUAAUCUUUAUAAAAAAUAAUAAACAUUAAAUUAAACCAAAAUUCCAUUUUUCAUUUUCUCUUUCACUUGAUUUAAAAACAAUUAUGUUAAACUUUUUAAUCAUGUGAAAAAGAGAACUAGAAGUGAGAUUUCUGAUUUAAUUUAAAAAUAAUUAACGUGCGUGAUUUUAAAGAAUGUAAUACUAUGUAAAAAGAUAAUGUAAAAAAUAUAUGACAAUACAUUCUUUUGCAUUCAAAAAUUAGUCAUUAAUUUGCAUAAAAGUUGGCUUACACUUACCCAAAAAUUAUAGAAUUAGCAUAUAAUAUCAAUCAAUCAUAGACUUGUUUAUAUAUUACUCAUUAUACUUCCUGAACUAAAUUGUUUACUUUAGUGGAGCGUUAAUGAGAUGAUAAAAUAAUCCCCAAGUUCUGACUCAACUGACAAAAUGUCGAAAUUGUUAGGCCAGAUGUCAUGACCGGGGUUCGAAUCCUGGUACCUCCACUUAUGUGUGUGAGUUUAUAAUAACUUUGUCAUUUCAUCUAUCUACCAAAAAAAAUGAGAUGAUAAAAUAAGAAUCAUUGUGUAUUUUAAACAUAUUUCAAGAAAGGGGAAUUAAUUUUUUUUGCUUAAUUGUUUCUUAACUCAUUCACAAAGAACUGUGAAAACCUCGUAACAUGUUGUUUAUGUAAAUAUUGAUUGGCGAAAUGUUUGAAGAUUUUUAUGUGCCAACUGGAUUGCUCAACCUCUGGAAUAAGGCGAUUAGAAGUUGGCUUUCGAUGCAAAAAGAAAAAACUGAUUAGAUCGUAUCUUUCAAUAGAUUUUGUGUGAUCGAGAGUUACGUUCCUAUAAUCCAAAGGGCUUUUGAGCAAAUUCAAGGAAUUCAAGGAGCCCCAAGAAAUGUCUUUGAUGAUCAUCAAUUUAACCUAGCUCUUUUUUUUUUUUUUUUUUUUUUUGAGUCCACAAGUCAUUCCUCAACUCUAAAGCAUUUAUUUUGAUAUUAUAUUUAUUAGCAAAUUUAAAUAUGAUCGCAAAUCAUUUUGACAGAUUAUAUACUGCAUAACUCACCAAAAAGACUUGGGGAACAAAAUUGACAAAUAAUCACAUUUAGAAAUCAUUAUCAAUGUUACAGUACUAUGCAAACUCACCAACCUCAAGACUCUGGUAAUAACAGAGUCUUUAGAGGACUCAAGGUGAUAGAACCACUACCCGGUUAUGUUAGUGAAAAAAGUGAAUACCAAUUAAAAAAAUAAAAAGGACCUGUACUGAAUGGUUGUAUUUGUACCAUCACUUUGAGUGAGAAAGAUAAACGCUGAAUCAAUUCUCAAUUUCAUUAGGUUGGUUUGGUUACUCUUGAGUAUGCAUUGCAUUGCAUUGGACUUGCCUCAUCAUCUUGUCUUGUAAACCGGUCUCGAAGCAUAUCCACACAACGCAACCAAUACUCCAUUGAUUGGGACCAUCAAGAUGUGAUUAUCUAACAAAAUCAAUCUUUGACCAGUACCUCACCCCUAUUUCAGUGGAGGAUAAUACAAUGGUACAAAAUGUGGUGUUGUUCUAUAUUGGCAUUGAGCUCGGUGUGACAAAUACCGACCCACUUAAGUUGAAAUGGUCUCAACCCAACAGCCACCACCCUUCACAUUGCUGAAUCAGUAACAUAUACACAUGCAUGCCCCAACAACAGUCAUACCAGUAAGUGAGACUGAAAAUCCUGUUUCUCUUGUCACGGGAUUGCUGGAGCAUUCCUAGGAUAUUGUCACGGGAUUGCUGGAGCAUUCCUAGGAUAUCUACCAGAAGAUGCGAAUCGCUGCAGAGUUCGUGGAUGUUCUUGCUUCAAACGUUUAUUCGAGAAUCCCUGAAAUGGCCUGAUUCACAUAACAAAAAUAGCAAGUUAAUGACCAAUGAUGAAGAAAAAUAGUUACCAUAUAUGAGAAUAAACAACAACAAUUUUUUUGUCUUCAGAAAAUCAAUGCUAGAUGCCAAUUCUGUCUGAAGGGGCUAGCAAACCAUUGGCCAGUAUAGAAUUUGAUUAUGGAGCUACCUUCUAAAAUCAAACGAAUGCAAACCACUUUGUGCUAGAUUUAGAAAGCACGGCACAUUUGGAGAGUAUAGGCUAAGUCUGUUCAUUAUACGACAAAAAAUGAAAAGAAAAAUAUACAGUCUUCUGAUCAAAAUAAUAGAAUAUACCUGGGAGAACUCUGCCGUCUCUGAAUGCUGUGGCCAUGCAUUGGUCUUAGACUUCCAAGUGCCUUCUCAGCAGCCUGAAGAAUGAAAUACAUCUUAGUACUCCAACACCAAUAUGUAAGAAAGUUAAUCAAAUUCAAGGAAGAAGACAUGCACAUCCAUAAAUAAUGUUCCAUUAUUAUAGAAAACAUCAUACCUGCAUUUUAGCCUCGUCCCAUGUUAAUCCGGUCCCUUUACCAUAGACCUGGCCAUCUAUCUCAACCUAAAAUGGAAAAUUCUUUCUUAAAUACUGCCAGAGCUUUGUUACCAUUAUAAAAAAAUAAAAAAUAAAAAGGACAAGAAAAAUGCCAGAACUAAUAACAAAGUGCUUGGUUAAACACUUCCAGGUCAUCCUUCAUAAGCCCCAUGGGCCACAAGUCCACCAUUAACAAGAUUACUACCCCAUACCUAAGCCCAGAUUUCAUUUAGUAGAUAAGAAUUUCCAUCCAACACUCACCCUUCAACUUCCCUCCUCAAAAAUAAGAAUAGUAAACCACAUAUAUAGAAGGGAGAAAUAACAAAAGUUCUGAUAUUUUAUCCUGGACACCAAAUUGCCUAACAGACCAAAAGUAUAAGGAAAAUUCAAACAUCAACAAAAUGUCUCUCUUAAUCUUCUUUUUUUUCUGCCCCUCAAAUGAAUGAAGAACUAAAACACACAGGUUUAGAAAGAAGGCAUAACCAUUCUACAAUUCAAUGGCAUUGUCAUUUUUAAAUGAAUUAGUUCAGACAACUGGCAAUUGGUUACCAACCUGUGCAUAUACUUCAUCUUUCUGAACUGAAUUUGUUGAAAGUGGAGCAGGCACUGAUAGAAAAUUGACACCAAGACCCUCCAUCAUGCACUGAAGAAAAUAAACGCAGAAGUUAUACCAUGUUAGAAACACAAACUUCAACCGAGGUUAACAAAAAUAUGGUUCUGGGGAGAUAGGUUGGUCAAUUUAUUAUGAAUCUCACCAAUUCUUUGAGGGCAGAGACUGAACCCGUUGAUCUCUUGGAGACUUCCAACCUAGGAUCCAAAACCCUUGAUAGAUCUGAUGCAGCUGAAAAUGAGACCGCCUCCUCUUUAGGCAGGGGGUGAUUACCAAGAGAACUAACAUUACCCACAUAACCGUUGUCAUUUGCAUUAGGAAAUCCACUCACAUCACCAUAUGCGGAACCAGGCUCAUCCUUAGCACGUGAUAAAUAUAUAUCUAGAAAAACAACCAAAAAGGUCAAAAUAUAUUUACAACUUUUUUUAAAAGAGGAAAUCAACAGUAAUAGAAAGAGUAAGAACAUGGUUACAAAAUAAAAAUAGCAAAGCAAUGGGUGCCGCUGAUAAUGUUAUUUGCUUAAUCAUUUUUUAUGAUGCUAGGAUCUUAUAGGAGAUUUUAGAUGGUCUAGUGUAAUUUCUUAUUCAUACACCUCAGAAUUUAACCAUGUAUGAAGAUAACUAUCCUAGCUUUCCUCCUAGCUAAAGGCAUACCCAUACAAAGAUAAUUAGACCAUCUCUACUAAAAGUUGAAACUAUUACAUGGCAGCCAAAAAAUAGAUUUGUCAUUUAACAUUUAUAAGACAUCGUCUCAUACAAGAGCCUUCCAAGCUUGAAGCAAGGAUAAUAAAUAGGUGUUAUUUUACCUUAGGCUGAAAAUCUAAUUUAAAAAUAAACAAGGGGGCAGCAAGGUUCAAAAUCUUGACAUUUGGUCAUAGUACUGUAUAUAUUUUCAAUCUCCACCGUUAAAAUACAACAACCACUUUUUUUUUUAUAAUUUAAUUCUCACUUUCUAUCUCAUGUUUAAUGGUUGAGAUUCCACUUAAGAAAACUUGAGAGAAUUUUUCAAUGGAGAGAAUCCAAAUCCCUCUUAAGCAGCUCGUUCUGUAACGAAAAGGUCAUUGCCUUUACCCUUUAAAUCUCUGACAAGGUCUGAGAAAAAGUUUUAUUGAUGGAAGGACAAUACCCUAAGGCUAUUUAUGCCAUUUAGUAAGUCUCAGUAUUAAACCCAAUGGGGCUGGUAUAACAAGGUAGACCCUGCUUUUGAUGUUCUGAAUUUCUUUAACUAAAACAAAAACAAUGUCUACAUUUUUGUAGGAACAACACCGGUCCUUAGAUAGCAGAAUCUUGUAGGAACAAACCCCUCUUUAUAGGAUAUUAGACUCGUAAUGCUAAUCAAAUAGAAAAAAAGGUCGUGAUAAUAACUAAAUAAUAUGGAAACUAACCUUAAGAGAUGCUCUAAAAUAAAAUAAAAUAACUAAUCCUAUGAGAUAAUUCAAGAUAAUAUCAAGAUAUUAUAAGAUAAUUUUCUUAUAUUCCAACAGUUCUAUAUAAUGCUAUAGCACAAACUUCCAAAAUUAGGAAUGUCCUACCAGCCAAAUGUUUAAUAGAAUCCUCAGCAGCCUUAUAUCGCGCUUCCAUUCUAGUUCUGCCAAUUCCUUGGCCAACUUUUUUCCCAGAAAACCACGCCUGCAAAUAAUGAUGACACUUACAAGAUGACGAAGGCAUAUCAACAAAUUAUGAAUUAAUAGAUGCUUCAACUAAUCACUACUCCAAAGGAAGCAAGAUGGAAUCAGCUUUAAACCGCCAACCGAAAGAUCAAUUAAAUUUCUAGGUUUGUUUCCCCGGUAAAAAAUUAAAUAAAGAUGACAUUAUUCAUAGCGCACCCAAUCCUGGAAAAGUUAAAUAUUUGGUAUAGUCUGCAACUAUGUAGGAAAAAUCAAUGUGUUUAGUUAAUUAAGCAUGAUGAAAAAUAAAUAUCAAGUGCAGAACGUUCACCGAUUAAAAAAAUGAGAAAUUUAUCCUAAUGAACAAAAUAGUUCUCUAGUUUUGUAUAGAAAAAUAUAAAACUUAGAAAGUCGUGCAAACAUAUAGAACAUGGUAUCAUGAAGUCACGCGGCUAGAAUGAAGGAUACCUCGACGGAGAACUGCAGCUCUCUGCUGGCAACCAAAGAUGAUGUAUAUUCCACCUGCUCAUAUCAAAAGCAAAGAAACAUGUUGGGUACACAAACCAAAAGAAAGCUUAAAUAGUACCACGAGAUACUAAUAAAUGUAACAAUGCUAUCUAACUAUUUUCUAGCAGACAAACUUAUCAGCUUACCUUAGUUCCACACUUCAGUGCAAUUUCCUGUAAUACUGCAGCUGGUGUUUCUGCAUGCAAUACAGAAUUACCAGAUUCAGAGUCAAGAUCCCUGUGGCUAGAAGAUGACCUACCAAAGAGGAUGUCAUCACCUGCAUAAGAACAACCAUGAGAUAUUGUCACUCUAAGGGUAGGACUAAAAAUAACAGAACUUGGAAAGCAAAAGAAACACACACAGAGGAACUAAACUAAAAAAACAUUUUAAAGUUUCAUAUAAGGUUUCUUGGAUGCUUUAUGUCCAGUGAAAAGGUAAAUCAAGGAAGACAAAGGCAAGUGUAUCAAAAGAUAUAUUUAUCAUACAGAAAAAUUAUAUGGUUGUGGUAGCCAAAAAGUAGAGUUGUUAUUUCCCAAGAAAACAAUAAUCCAAAACCCAAACUUAAUUACUCAUCACAGAAAAAUCACAAAAUUCAAAAAGAAGUCACUUUAAUUGAGCAUGGAACCAACUGCAAAAAAAGCUCACUCAAACUAAUUACAUUUCAGAGCCAAAUAAAUGCAGCCAGUCACCAUCAGUACAUGAGAAGCAAAUACUUGGGGAGGAAACUGAAGAGAAUCAACCAAACAUGUAGGGACAAGUAUUAUAGCUUACCAGAUAACGAAUGAUAACUAGGGAGCAUAUGGUUUACUCUUGACCGAUCAUCUCUAUGGUAAAUCUGCAACAAUAAAAAAAAUGGUAAGUUAAUUCACUACAUAAACAAAAAGUUUGAGCCACUUGUAAAACAUCAAAUGAUAGAAUGAAACAUAGUCAUUACCUCCUUUGGCAAUCUUUGGUGGCUCUCAUGGAGAGCUCUAUCAGAUGAAAUAGAGCCAUCAACCUUAGAGAAAAAGGAUGGUUGAUGAGGCCGGUGCUUCUCCAUACGUGAUGGACCAGAAUCUACAAGAAUUUCUUUAGGUAGUACUCUGUUCGGUGGUUGUGAACCAAUCUCCUCUUCUACAGGAAACCAUCCCCCACGUGAUGGUGCACGAGUGGAAACUUGUACAGGAUUGGGGUGUCUAACGGGGAAUGGAGGCUCACUAGAUGUAUGAUCCCUAAUAUCUUGUCCAUGUUGCAAUAUGAGAAGCCUUCGCCUUGUAUCUGGGUCUAAUUCUGAUUCACCUACUUCCCCUUCUUCUCUAGCAGGAGAACUAUGCAAGCUUGAUUCUAAAGGGGCAACUUGAACCAUUGGCUUUACUGGUGUAGCAGGUUGAAGGAACUGUGUGUGAGGCAAUUGUAUCAUAGAUGCGUGUGGUGCAGGUGGUGGAACUGAACCAGGAGAUACCAUUGUAUACUGAAGAGAAGAAGUGAGCCUGGGAUCUAACUUCGCAGUUGUCAUAGGAAUAGCUGAAGUUGCUGAUAUUGCAUCCUAGCACAAAGUACAGUUACAUAGAAAGAUUAGACAAACUUCAUGUUUAAUCAGACAUAAACACAGUUCUCAAAUAUUCACUCGGAAGUCAGAUUGAUACCUUCAAUUUUCUUUCUACCUCAGCAUCUGCCAUGCCAUCAAAUAAAAACGGAUCUCUAUUUCCAUAGGAAGCAGAUCCAUCGUCCUGUAGAAGUCAAACAUACAGUUAAACACGCACAAAUACAACACAUAUGACAGAAAAUCAAAUGAUACACAUCUAUUUGAAUUUCAACAUCGUAUAUCCCCAUCAGAUUAGAAUAAUGACAUGUACACAUGUAGUCAUACAGUUACCUCUGAAACUAGAUAAUUGCUCACGUCAGGAGCAGGAGGUAUAUCUUUAAUAUCAUCUUCAUAGGCAAUUUGAGGAAUCUUUUGUAGAAGACCAUCAUCAAAAUCCCUAUCACAAAAUCAGAGUCGUAAUUAGGGGCAAGAAUCAUAUGUAGUAUUAUUAUCUUUAUACCAAUUGGAGAUAAUUAAAAUGCUUAGAAAUCAACCUCUAAACUACAACAACAACAACGACCAAGCCUUAUCCCACUAAGUGGGGUCAGCUACCUGAAUCAAACGAUGCCCUAGCGUUCUAUCAAAAACCAUGUCUUUCUCCAACUCAUUUAUCUCUAAAUUACUAAAUAGAUAUUUUUACAGAUAAAUAUAACUUUUGAAAGGUAUAACUUACUUAAAGAAGCCACCCCUAACAUUGCAAGCAACAUUUCUUGCAACGCACAAGACAGGGAUAGUAUUGCUUGCCUACAAGACAAAAAAUUAAUCAGUUCAUAUAACUAAAAAAGGGAUGAAAUUUCAUUCAUGCCACUGAAAGUAUAAAAUUUCCAACCAUGUGUGCCAGCAAAUUUACCUCAGCUUGAGGAGCAUAGUAUGGAGCAAAUGCAGGAACGACAUGUACCCGAGGUUGAUCUUUCUCAUCCCACACUUUCAAGCGAUCGUCAAUUACUAACGCCAUCUUUGGAUGGCAUGAGCCAUCUUGGAAGACAUUGAACAAGGACUUUUUCAAACCUAUUAUAAUAUUAUCGAAACACAAGAAUUAAAAGUGAAUGACAUCAGAAGUAGCAGAAACAUGGGCAUACGGUCCAAUACAAUGAUUUGCUUCUCUACAUCAAACUCGGAUGAAAUUUAAAAUAUAGUUUAAUUACUCUAUGGGUCCCUAAACUAUUUGAGAAUUUUUAAUAGGUCUUAAAUUAAAAAAAUUUGUGAUAAGGUCUCUGAACUUAGGUCUCUCGAUUUUAAUCAUAUGCCUUAACUUUCAAAUAAUUUGUAUUUAGGUCCCUGAACAUUUAAGUAAUUUGAAGCAUGGUCCCAAAUUACAUGGACCUAUUAUUUAUAAGUUCAAGGAUCCAAUUAAAAUUUAGGGGCCCAACUACAAUUUUUUGUGAAGUUCUAGGACUGAAUUAAAACUUAUAUAGUUUAGAGAACUAUUAAAACAUUCUCAAAUAGUACAGGGUAGUUGAACCUAAAAUAUAAGAUGUCCUCAUGUUCAGUUUGCUUCCUUCAGGUGCUCUAUUACAAAUAUACAGCUUCUCUUUGAAAACAAAAUUAACUAAGAAAAAAAAAACAAGCAUGCCAUUUAUGGACUUACCGGACUUAACACAUACAAUGCGACCCAAUAGUUCUUUCGCAUUUAUCAAAUUUGAAUCUGGAUCAAGAAGUCUCCACAUUUCUAGCGCAUAGUCCCUUUCAGCCAUUGUGCAAACAAAAACCUCAAAACGCUUGCGCCCUCUUGCAAUCAGGUAGCUCCGAAGAUCUUCCCAUGCAGGUCUCAACCUCACAAGAACACUUGUAUCACGAAUCUAUCAAAACAUGCUACCCUUUGUUAGACUAAUGAUUCUGACAAGUCUUUAUGGUUACAUAUGUGUUUGAAAAAAAAUAGACAAAACACACUAAUUUAAUGUUGUGAUUUAGAGGUUAUUUUCUUCGUUUAAGAUAUUUUUACACAUGCAUGUGUGUAUGUGUAGGCAUAGUUUUUCGGUAGGAUCUUAUGAUCCGUGUUACGAUCCACGAGUUUCGGUUUUUCACACCCUCCUGAUCCUAGGCAGAAUCCAGUUUGACUACAGGGUUUGACUACAUUGGGACCCAGUAGAUGAUAUAUUUAAACGAAAAUGCACAGCAACAAGAUGCGACAAAAGAAUAGUAAAUAACAAUAAAUGAUUGUGUAAAGAAAAUAUCAUAUACCUGCGGAUUGAUGCGUGUCAAAAUAAUGUUUUUUUCAUGCAACCGUAUCAGUGGUCGAACUAUGGGCUGAUGACUGUCAGAUAAUGCUGGAACAAGCUCAGAUUGAACUUUUAUCACUUUUCCGUUAUCAACUACCUGAUCAUUUUCAGCAUACUGCUUCAAUAUACUCUUGUCCUCUUGGUAGCGCUUGAUCUCCGCCUGCAUGCCAGAAAUUCGUUGUGGAUCUACCUCAGAGUUUACUUUUCUCUGGAGUGCAUCAAUUCUAUCCUCGAACGAGCGCAUUGUAUUUGCUACAACAAGGGUUUCAUCCAGAUCAAACACUAUACCCAAACAUCUGAGAUUUAACAACACGACGGAUGAAUUAUAAAGUCCUGUGGCAACAAUAAAUCCCCAGAAACAUGGUCUGUCGUCAUUCCGCGAAUGCAUUGCAACCAAAUGUAAUUCUUCCCCAUACAGCGGCAUAACAGCUGUCUGCAGAAGCCAACAUCGCGACAAUUAUUAAUAUUCUACAAGAAAAUUAUAUAUGGAAAAUAAAGGUAACCGAUAACUGCAUAGGUAACCGGUAAAUUUAAGUAACCGGUAACCGCGUAAAUUUAAGCAAGACAACAAAUAAUAGAUACAGUGCAUCGUACGCCAGCCGAUAUUAGGAAAAUGCUAAAUAGUCAUGCAGUGCCAAAAACAAAUUGAUAUCAUAAACAACCCAGCCUAUAUUUUCAGUAUGAGCUCAAGUCAGAAAAGAAAAAAAAAAAAAAAUUAAUACACUUUCGACUGUCGGAACCAAAAUCAUGUUUUUUUUUUUUUUUGUAUUAACAAAACCCUAACCAGCACAAACACUAAUUUCACUAUCAAUCACAAAUUUCUCAGAUUUAGCAAAAAAAAAAAAAAUGGUAUUAGAUCAACAAGUAGCAAAACUCUUCAUGAAACAUAAUGCCCCAAUUAAUUGGGAAUCUCGGUGGCAUUGUUAGGUAUCUGUUAAAUGAUCAAUUGGCCAAUUUUUCCACCAUCUGAGUUCAUCAAAACAACAAAUUUAGUAAGUUAAAUCAAAUUAUUCCAAAAAUCUUGCAACAUUAACACAUAAGUCAUAAGUUCAUCAUCCAUAGAUUGAAGUUGUUUUAAGUCCUGUGAGAUUUAGUCCAAAAUCAUAGGGUUUAAGUGAAUUUUUUUCUCCAUAUUUUUUAAUUUAAUUUUAAUUAUGAUUUUUUACCUUGUUCUCUCUGAUACACAAGGAGUGCAAGUGUAAGAGCUGAUUCUGGUGCUGUGUCUUUGACUCCAUUUUGAAGCAAACAGUAGUAAUAGUAUGAAGAACAGCAAGUGGUGAACACCUCUCACUAGGUUGAGAAAACUGAGUUAUUCUGAUUUCCUUCACAUCAAAAUUCUUGUUCUUGUUGUUGAUGUUGUUGUUCACUUCUGGGUAUAUAUCUACCUCACCCAACAUCACCUCCCCUUGAUACACCACCGAUUUAUACAUUUUUUGUUUUUGGGUCCCUUCAAAUCACAAAAAGAAACAGUCUUUGGGAAAUUUCAUCAAUAACUAGUAGUAUUCAUCAUCAUAAUUGGCGUCAAAAUCGGUUUAAAAUUCAUCUGAUUUACAAAAUAUAUAAAAUAGAAUGAAAAAUUAGGCCAAUUUUUAGAUCCGUGAAUUGAAAGUGAUGGUGACGGCGAUUUGGGUGAAAAUUUGAUAAUAGUAAUAAUAUUCGAUUUGAUCGAUGAACCCUAAUUCAAUUUGCGCCUGAUUGUGAAUCUCCGAUAGAAUUGUAGUAUUGAUUAGAGGGAGGUGGUGAUUAGGGUUUGAAGAUUGGGGUUUUUUGUGAAGAUGAUGAUGAAAUUGAGAUUCAAGAGAGAGCGUCACAGAAACCCUAGAUCCAGAAAACGAAAGGUCAGAAAUAGUACUCGCACUUGCACAACCUAAUGCGUUUGCCACUUCCAAUUAAAUAAUACUCCAAAAAUUAACAAAAGCCUUGUUUAUUUUUGGCUAAAUUAUUCUUCUUUUUUUUAUGAAAGCUAAAAAUAAAAAAUAUCUCUUGACCAAAAAAGAAGAAGUUAUUUUAGUUUUUUUUUAUCCAAAUUUAAUAUUGUAGAAAUACACAUUUUAUUUUAGAUUCUCGAAUUUUUAUCCACUUUAGGUAAUCCUAUAUGAUAAUAUAUGUGAAGCAUUUUUAUAACAUUAUUUGUCAUCUUAAGGGUUUUAAUAUCUUCUAUUAGUAUCAACUAAUGGUUUACAAAUUCGCAAUUUUACCUUCUUAUUUUGUAUAACAUCUGUCACUUUACCUAAGAUAACACGACAUUUCUUUCAAUAAAGAAAGAGGAUAAAAUGCACGUGAGCAUUAUUCGCGUUAAAUGCUUAGACGCACUCUGACCAACACAUGCACGUAUCAAUUAAUACGUUCUCUUUUCAUUAAAGAACAUAAAAGGCAACCAACUCAAUGAAUAAUAAUCUCUCUCUCUCAAAGUAUCGACGAAAAAUCUUUAGAAUAACCAGCCACUUGUUACCCUCUGCCAAAAUGCAUCCUACGUUGCCAAUCACGAUGUGGCCGUCCGGCCACACUGGUAAGCCACCCCCUCGUUUGACCACCACAUAUCACAAGCUUCAUGUCAUUUUCCACUAUAUCCAUUUGUUUAAAUUAAAGAUUUAAGGGUUAAUUAAGUUUUUGGUCCCUAUAAAUAUCUUAAGUUUUGUUUUUAGUCCCUAUAAAAUAAAUCACACUUUUUAGUCCCUACAAAAUUUUUUGUUAUUGUUUUUAGUCCCUGUUAAAUUAAAAUUUGUUUAAUUAUGCUUAAAAUUUUAAAUUUUUUAAUGAUUUUUUACAUACUUGUUUAAAACAUUAUAAAAGGUUCCGCCAUAAUAAAUUAGCUCAAAAUUUUAUUUUUANNNNNNNNNNNNNNNNNNNNNNNNNNNNNNNNNNNNNNNNNNNNNNNNNNNNNNNNNNNNNNNNNNNNNNNNNNNNNNNNNNNNNNNNNNNNNNNNNNNNNNNNNNNNNNNNNNNNNNNNNNNNNNNNNNNNNNNNNNNNNNNNNNNNNNNNNNNNNNNNNNNNNNNNNNNNNNGGACCAACACAUACUUUUAGUCCUUGUAAAAUUAAAAUUUGCUUAAUUGUGCUUAAACUUUUAAAUUUGUAACAUAUUUUUCACAUACUUACUUAGAAUAUUAUACAAAGUUCCUCCGCAAAAAAGUAACUUAAAAUUUUAUUAUUAGGUCCAAAUUUUCAUUAAUAUAAUCUUGAAAUUUUGGCUUUUAGAAAAAUUCAUAUUUAAUUCAUUACAUGUUAAAUUUAUUUUUUUUUAUAAAAAAGUAUCUUACGAUGUUAUGAACAUGUAUGUAAAAAAUCUUUCAAAAAUUUAGAAGUUUAAGCAUAAUUAAACAAAUUUUAAUUUAACAGGGACUAACAGCACUAACAGAAAAUUUUGUAGGGACUAAAAAAUGUGAUUUAUUUUUAUAUGGACUAAAAACAAAACUGCAGAUAUUUAUAGAGACCAAAAACUUAAUUAACCCAAAAUUUGAAAAAAAAUUAUAAAAAAAAAAAAAAAAAAACUCAUAUAACACCUACAACGUGAAGUUCACUAACUCCACAAGUCUACCAAUAAUUAAUAACACCUCGCAAAAUAUCACUUAAGCCCUAGCUUCCACAAAGAAAAAUGAAAAAGGUAGCCUUCAAAAACUUUUUUUUUAUAAUGUCAAUUUAUCUUAUAGAAUUUAAUCGGUAAAUAGUUGAUGUUUGAUGUUGUAAUUAAAAGAAAGAGAUAUAUGCAAAUUGUGAGAACUUAUGAAACUGAGGAAAAAGGAUGGUUGCCUUUAUAGAUUAUUUUUCGUGACACGUGGAAUUGAUUGAAGUCGAAACAUGGUUAAAAUGUGUGUUUGGGGUUUUUCACAGUUAAUUAAAAUGAUUAAAUAAAAGAUAUUUUUUAAAAACGAGAAGAGUCGGUUAUCAAGUCCACAAUUUAAAAAAUUAGGAAAUGUGACUAGGAAUUCUCAAGUGUGUUCGUCUGUGUUUGCACUGCGUUUAAAGCUAGCAUUUUCCAAUGCAUAAUAACAUGAUGGAAUUUUUAUAGGAAAAUAAUAUAAUUAUGAGUGGUGUGUUACAGGUCCAUAUCCAAGCUUUGAAAAACGACAAAUUUGAACUUAAAUUUAUCAGUGCCUCAGGGUUGGAUUGUCUUCCUUCUUCGAGUUUGAAGUUGGAGAUUGUAACUUGUAUUUAUAAAGAUGCACCUUAAUUUCAUAAGUUACAACCUCUUCUUUUUCUUUGUCUUAGGUUGUUGUAUCUUUGAAUUCUUACUUCUUCUCUUUGAUGUUGCAACUUCAUCUUUCUUUACUGGACCGUUCAUAUAAGGCUCCUCUUUAAGCUUAAUUCUUUCUUUUUGUUCUUCCUACUCAACAUAUGCAGUUAGGAUACCCCAUCCCUUCGAUCAACAGCUCAUUUCUUCGAAGUUGUAGCUUCCGGAGUGGACGCUACAUUUUUCUGCCACUUAAGUGCUGGAGUUGUUAUAUGACCAACAAGUUCCAUAAUGUAUGUUCUGGAAACACAGGAAAGUUUUCCUUACAGUAGAUUUUCAAGUUAGAAACUAAAUGCUUUAAUGUUUCUCUACAAUUCUACAUUAUCCUUCUCGAACGCAUCAAACUUCGUUUCUUCAGGCUAAGAGCUUCAGCUUCCUGCAUAUUUAAUUAUGCCUCCAAAAUGUAAUUCGGGACUAUAGGAAAUAAACCUUGGAAAUCCCACUUUAAAACCCAUUUUUUCAACGAUAUUUCCCCCCUUUUCUUCAUUUAAUUCUAAAAUCCUUUUUAUUCAUUAGUGUCCUCCUCAAAUUCUUGCAUGGUGAUAAAGUGAUAUGUAGACAAAUGUUAUGUUGAUGCUUUAACAUCUACCAUUUUUUUAUUUAUGCUCAAUUGAGUGGCAGUUGGGACGCAAGUUUAAUAACUUCUCUUUUCAACACCAUUUUAUUGCACACUUGUGGGGAUGGGUAAAAGGUUUGGGUGUGGAAGAGAAAAAAGGUUUAGAUGGGUUGGUGAAAAUGAUGGUUUAAAUAAAUAUGAGGCGUGUGAAGGAAAGAUAAAAAAAAUGUGAACGGAAUGUUAAAUGGAAGGUUGGGGAUUUUUGGUUUUUGAAAAUGAGAGGUUUUGGGUGGUUGAGGUUGAUGAUGAUGGGUGCUACGGUUUUUUAAGGUAGUGGAGGUCAGAAAAGUGAUUUGGUCGAGGGGUAAAGGUUAGUGAGGGGAUAAAUGGACGGUUAGAUGAUGGAAUUUUGGGUGUGUGGGGAGGUAAUGGAUGGAUAAAAUGUGCAAAAAGGACAACGAUGUAUGUCACUCGUUGUCUUAGGUGAGAGAAUUUGUACCUUAUAUUCAAAACUUGCUACGACUCAAAUUUUCUUUUUGGAAUGUAAAUUUUAAAAUCUGAGGCCACUUACUCCUUUUUCUUCAACAUUUAUCACAUGAACAAAACUUGUUGUUCGAAGUUGCAACUUCCAGACGAGAGCUGCAUCUUUUUGUAUCUUUCAUCUUGUAAUUGGAAGAAAAAAAAAAUGACGCAUUAAAAAUUUAAAAAUGGGAGUGUGAACACUCCCUUUAUUAAGGGUUGCCUCCCCUUAAGCGAUUCUUUACUGCAUUAGCUUGACAAAUCAACACUCAAAUUAGGGUGGAUAACAUGACAAGAAAAAUAUAACCUCAUUCCUCUUCUUUCCUUUAGGUAGAAAUCCCAUAUACUAUGGUACCAAGUGUUCCUAUGCCCCCAUAACAUGACCAUCAGAACACACUCGAGGAGGAUACCUUUCUUAAAACAUCAAGGGUUGAGUCUUAACAACUGCAUGAAUUAUUUAAUCAUCCUCCCUAGGUUUUAAUAGCACUAACUACUUACAAAUCUACUUCUACUUCAACUUCUACAUCUAAGACCACGAUAUGUUUUUCUUCCGCUCUUUCAUCAAAACAUUGUUUAGUCGCUAACUAUAUUCUCUUAACAUUGAUUGGUGAAUCGACUACAUUAUCCCAACCCGACAGCAACCUUUGGUGAACCGACUGCAUUAUCCCAACCCGACAACAACCUAUAAGCAAACAAGGUGCUAGUGCGGAAAGAAUUCAGGGUCAAUUAGAAAAUGUGGGCAAUGAUGGCACUCAUGACUAACAACAUGUCUAAUCAUGGUUAGAUGCACCGUACAACCACAAUUUACUCUUGUGUUUCUCCACUCAAUUCAUUCGUAAGAAAGAGUGUUUUCUUAAUUGAGAAUUGCCAUUUAUUAUGAGCCAUGUCAAGGAAGAAAUGCAAGAACACAACAAUGUUCUUUUUUCUUUGUCCAUUUUACUACCGCCGUUUUAAAUUAAUUGUCAGUUAUUUUUGUUCUCCUAUUGAUAAAAAACACUGGUUUUAUUUUUUAUUAAGCAAAUUAGUGACUGGAGCUCACAUAUUUUAAAUGUGAAUAAGUUAAAAGUGGGGUGCGUGAGGUUCGAACUUAGCCCAUGCAUAUAUUAUGCAACGUCCUUGACAAAUGAGAUAAGUUCACAAAAAAAAAAGCUUAUUGGUUUUGUUUACAUGCUCGGAAAAAAUUAAAAUAACAUUUUCCUAAUAAAAAUACAUAAAGAUAAAUAUUUACGUUUGGAGGCUAUAUUAAUUUUAUUUAAAAAAACGUUGAAAAUAUAACUCUUUAAUUAGUUUAUUUUGUAAAAAAAAAAUCUGUUUAAAAAGUUAGUUUUUUUUUUUUUAGGAAAUUUUAAAAAGUUUGUUGAAAAUUAAAAUCCUGAUAUUAAGUAGUUACUGUAGUGACAAAAAGUGUUUUGAGAAUUUCUGCUGACACAUAUUUAUUGGUUGAGAAACAAGAGUAAUUUACCCAAAUGCCUAUCGGCAGUUAACUGCCGAAUUAUGGAACCGGCUGCAGUUAACUGCCGAGGAAAACUUCGACAGUAAACUAUCGAGGAAAAUUAAAAACUUCGGCAGUAACUGCCGAGGAAACCUCAAACCUAUUUUUUUUUUUUGUUGAUAAAAACCAUAAAUUAUCAUUAAUAAUAUUUAUUGAUUUUCAAUGUUUCAAUCAAUACUUUAGUACGUUUCAAACAAUUGCAGUAUUAUACUCAUGCAUAUUUUUACACUUAUCGAUAGUUUACCGCCGAAGUUUACCACGAUAGUUAUUAACUAUCAAAGAACAUUUCAGUAAAUUACUUGUAUAACAGAGCCUUAUGCAAUCUGUCAACAACAUUCUCAACCGAAUCAAAAGUUCAAAAUAACGAAACAAGCCUCCUCAUCGUAUCGUAUGUUACCUACCAGUUAGAAAAACACUGCACUGACCCACAAAUUGCACACAAUUUCAUAACACUCAAAUUUCAAAUUUUCUCAAUUCUUUCUUUCAAUUCUUCUUCUUCUUGUUCUUCGAAUUCUUCGUUCAGCUCAGAAACCUGAAAAUUUCUCAUUCUUCCUUUUCUUUUUGUUGAAUUUCCGAAAAAGCCCUCAUCUUGUCGAAAAAUGCCAAAUCGAAAUUCAUCAACAUAGCCGCCACCAACCACCACACAACCCACCGUAAACCACCGAUCUCCGAUUUCAAAAUGAUUGUUCGCACAUACAAUCGCCGCAAACCAUCAAUUACCGGAACGUAUUCAUCCUCUUCCCUAAACGACGACGUAUCAGACUCCCUUUCCCUUUCCCAAUCCCAAUCCCAAGACCCACUCUACCCCGAUUUCGCUUUCUCUUCUCAAGAUUCUUCCUCUCAGUGGUCUUUCUUCGAUUCCGACCCCAAUUCAAUCGACGAUUUUGGUUACGGCUGUCGCCGGGAGCCAAAGAGGGCAAAAAACGCAUCCACAAAAAACGGAUUCUCGUAUCCGGCGACGUCGACGUUGAUGGAGGCGCAGGAGUUUGGGGAGAUGAUGGAGCAAAAUGAUGAGGUUAAUUUCGCUCUUGAUGGGCUUCGGAAAGGUCAACCGAUUCGGAUCAGAAGGGCUAGUUUGGUUUCUCUUUUGUCAAUUUGUGCCACAACACAGCAAAGAAGGCUUCUUCGUUCUCAAGGGUAUGGAGAUUUUUCACUAAAUCUUUUGAAUUUUAACGUAUCUUGCGUUUUGUUUGAAUUUCUUCUUUUGUGUUGUGUUUCUUUGUUGGGGUUUAUUCAAAAUCUUGAAUUUUGAAUUUUAAAUUUGGGCUUGCGUUUAAAUUUUAAAAUUUUAAAUUGUUUUAAUGUUGUUAGUUUCUUUGUUUUAGAUUGGAAUUUUGAACUCGCUCUCUCAUAUAGAAAUUUUACCAGUAUGAAUGUUUAGCUGAUCAAAUACCAAUUAUUAUUUAUGCUUUAUUUAUAGGAUGGCAAAGACAAUAGUUGAUGGAAUUUUGGGUCUCAGCCUUGAUGAUUCUCCCAGCAAUCUUGCAGCUGCAACCCUUUUCUACAUUUUAACCAGUGAUGUAAGUUGUUUUGAAUUCCGUUAAAGGUAGAAAGUCUUCAUUUUUUUUCCAGUAUGAAAUGAAAUGAAUGUUAUACUGUAAUUUUAAUUAAUGAUAAGUUUUUUUUGGAUUCUUUUGCUCUCUCUCUCUCUCUCUCUCUCUCUCUCUCUCCACUUGUUUGAUUCUACAUCUGAAAGAAAUCUUAGUACUCCUCAAUGGUGUGAUUCUGAGUUUUAAAGAACAGUGAUAUUGAUGUAUGGUUGCUUUCUUUAUUUGUUAUAGACUUCUCAAU